RNAcentral lists this ribosomal RNA (325 nucleotides) under uncultured eukaryote. RNAcentral describes it as "partial 18S ribosomal RNA". It matches the Rfam family "Eukaryotic small subunit ribosomal RNA", at positions 1470 to 1796 of the family's 1831-position model. The record is from RNAcentral.
CCCUUAGAUGUUCUGGGCCGCACGCGCGCUACACUGAUGCAUUCAACGAGCCUAUCCUUGACCGACAGGUCCGGGUAAUCUUUGAAUCUGCAUCGUGACGGGGAUAGAUUAUUGCAAUUAUUAAUCUUCAACGAGGAAUGCCUAGUAGGCGCAAGUCAUCAGCUUGCGUCGAUUACGUUCCUGCCCUUUGUACACACCGCCCGUCGCUCCUACCGAUUGGGUGUGCUGGUGAAAUGUUCGGAUCGGCCGUUUGUCGCGGUUUCCGCGUCAUGUGGCUGAGAAGUUCAUUAAACCCUCCCACCUAGAGGAAGGAGAAGUCGUAACA